AGAUGUGAGGAUCAUCUGCCUGUGACAUGUCGUACCACUGAUCACCAAGGUGGGUGUGACUUACCUAGUCAGUCGAAUAGAGUCUCCUUCCUCCCUCACCACCCCACAUACAUCCCUCCCAAAGCGGGGCAUGCAGUCAAAGAGGGCGGCCCUCUGCAAUGCAGGAGGACUACUUUCAUGUUAAGGGUACAGAAAUGGCUGCACUUGUUUGACCUUCCAAGCCAACAGAAAUGAGAAGCUGAACCACAUGGUUAACACAGAGGCCAUACUGGCUUUAAGCUUCAGCAAAGGC
This 292-nucleotide small nuclear RNA is filed under the name Jaculus jaculus (lesser Egyptian jerboa). RNAcentral describes it as "7SK RNA (ENSJJAG00000002523.1)". It matches the Rfam family "7SK RNA". Rfam says of the family: 7SK was discovered as an abundant small nuclear RNA in the mid-70s but a possible function has only recently been suggested. Two independent studies have found that 7SK RNA binds the CDK9/cyclin T complex (known as elongation factor P-TEFb). The record is from Rfam by way of RNAcentral. Lineage: Eukaryota; Metazoa; Chordata; Mammalia; Rodentia; Dipodidae.